GCCAGGCAUGGUGGCCUGUGCCUGUAAUCCCAGAUACUUGGGAGGCUGAGGCAGGAGAAUUGCUUGAACCCAGGAGGUGGAGGUUGCAGUGGGCCGAGAUCGCGCCAUUGCACUCCAGCCUGGGCAACAGAGCAAGACUCUGUCUCAA
RNAcentral lists this non-coding RNA (148 nucleotides) under Pan troglodytes (chimpanzee). The record is from Rfam by way of RNAcentral. Lineage: Eukaryota; Metazoa; Chordata; Mammalia; Primates; Hominidae.